This 462-nucleotide ribosomal RNA is filed under the name uncultured bacterium. RNAcentral describes it as "SSU rRNA". It matches the Rfam family "Bacterial small subunit ribosomal RNA", at positions 26 to 518 of the family's 1533-position model. The record is from RNAcentral.
AGAACGAACGCUGGCGGCAUGCCUAACACAUGCAAGUCGAACGAGACCUUCGGGUCUAGUGGCGCACGGGUGCGUAACGCGUGGGAAUCUGCCCUUAGGUACGGAAUAACAGUGAGAAAUUACUGCUAAUACCGUAUGAUGUCUUCGGACCAAAGAUUUAUCGCCUAGGGAUGAGCCCGCGUUGGAUUAGCUAGUUGGUGGGGUAAAGGCCUACCAAGGCGACGAUCCAUAGCUGGUCUGAGAGGAUGAUCAGCCACACUGGGACUGAGACACGGCCCAGACUCCUACGGGAGGCAGCAGUGGGGAAUAUUGGACAAUGGGCGCAAGCCUGAUGCAGCAACGCCGCGUGAGGGACGACGGCCUUCGGGUUGUAAACCUCUUUUAGUAGGGAAGAAGCGAAGUGUUUUACAUGGAGUGACGGUACUGCAGAAAAGCACCGGCUAACUACGUGCCAGCAGCCGC